AUUGAACGCUGGCGGUAUGCUUAACACAUGUAAGUCGAACGGUAACAGGUCUAGCUUGCUAGAUGCUGACGAGUGGCGGACGGGUGAGUAACGCGUAGGGAUCUGUCUAGGGGUGUGGGACAACUCGGGGAAACUCGAGCUAAUACCACAUACGUUUUAGAUGUAAAAGUUUAAAAGAAAGGCGGGUAGCAAUACCUGUUGCUCUUAGGUGAACUUGCGUUGGAUUAGCUAGUUGGUGGGGUAAAGGCCUACCAAGGCGACGAUCCAUAGCUGUUCUGAGAGGAAGAUCAGCCACACUGGGACUGAGACACGGCCCAGACUCCUACGGGAGGCAGCAGUGGGGAAUAUUGGACAAUGGGCGGAAGCCUGAUCCAGCAAUACCGCGUGUGUGAAGAAGGCCUGUGGGUUGUAAAGCACUUUCAGCGAGGAGGAAGGUUGUAUGGUUAAUACCCAUGCGAUUUGACGUUACUCGCAGAAGAAGCACCGGCUAACUCUGUGCC
Molecule: ribosomal RNA, 500 nt
Filed under: uncultured bacterium
Lineage: Bacteria
Description: bacterial SSU rRNA
Rfam family: Bacterial small subunit ribosomal RNA
Source: RNAcentral